UAAUUUCCGAUCAGCCAACAUCCAACCACCAGAGUAGAAAGCACCAGCUGAACUCACUCUCCUCAUCCAGCUAGAGGUCAGUAUAACUCCAGUCUCUGAGGAUGAAAGCAGCAAUCCUGAAGCCUAUUUUUAGAGAAUCUGUCUGUCUUUCCAGCCUCAUGCUUUUGGGUGUCUUUUCCUACAAUGUUCAGGAUGGAUUCACCAUCACGUUUUAGAAAAAAAAUGUUGGUGCUCAGAUAAAGGACAUGCUUUGCCCACAGUCGCACAGUGACAGGCAACUGGCCCAGUGUUUACUUACAGCCGCAAUGAGUGCUCAGAGAUCCCCUCCUCUGGACCAGGGCUGCAGCUGCGUGCUCUGCUAUGUGAUCCGGCACUAAAUAUGUGAUGAAUAACUUUUGUCAUUCAGCCUUCGACAAAUAUCUACCAGCAUGGAUCAGCGCUGCACCAGGCACUUGGCAAUAAAGGAGUGAAUGCAACCAGGUCCCACUGCUGGGAAACCCAGGAGUUGCACUAUAGAGUGACUUAGAACUGUGUCACACAGAGUGUGAAAGAACACAGAGAAAGGCUACUUAACCCAGUCCUGGGGGCCAGGAAAGGUUUUCCAGGGGAAAUGACAUCUAAGCUGAGGUCUGAAGGAUGAGUGAAAGCUGGCCAGGCACAGAAGCGAAAUGUUCUAUGAAGAAGGUUAGCAGUGCAAAGGCGUGAAGAGAAGAAAUGGGCAGCUUCUACGAGUUGAGAAUAGAUAAAAUGUAGGAUUCGAAGAAAAGGCGGAGCAAGAAGUGAGACAAGAGAAGUGAGCCUGGGUGAGAACAAAGGGCCUUGUGAGCUAAGUUAAAAAUUCACCUGAGUUUACCUUCCAUGAAUUCCCUGUACCUGAUGACAACGAGAAGCCAUGGAAGGUCUCUCCUGAACUGAUGCAGAUAGAAUAUCAAGCACAGGACCCGGUCAGAGUAGGGACACAAUAAAUUUCUGUUGACUCUGAA
Pteropus alecto (black flying fox) is the source of this 983-nucleotide long non-coding RNA. RefSeq lists it as uncharacterized. NCBI's taxonomy places the organism in Eukaryota, Metazoa, Chordata, Mammalia, Chiroptera, Pteropodidae. The transcript is spliced from 2 exons. The record is from RefSeq and is a predicted model, not a curated record.